RNAcentral lists this transfer-messenger RNA (360 nucleotides) under bacterium. RNAcentral describes it as "G020350725 sp020350725 Standard tmRNA". It matches the Rfam family "transfer-messenger RNA". From Rfam's summary of the family: Bacterial tmRNA, also known as 10Sa RNA or SsrA, is named for its dual tRNA and mRNA-like properties. The record is from RNAcentral.
GGGGGCGAGUUGGUUUCGACGGGGGUCAUUGACGUCCGUGGCGCAUGCCGAGGUGCCGGUGGCCUCGUUAAACACCGGCCGUUAUAGCUGCCAACGAUACCGGCUACGCUCUGGCUGCUUAAUUAAACCUAAGUGAGCCAGCGCUGCCCUGACGGCGCCCGUAACGUCAGGUCGCAGUGUCAUAAGCUCGGGCUUGUUCCCUGUCGCCGCCCGGCCUUCAGGGGAGACUCUCAGUCGGGCUCAUCCUCCAGCUGCCCUGUCCGUGGGGUCCCUGGGGGAGACAGAAAACACGGAAUAAGCAUGUAGGGCCGCGAGGCCGAAGGCUUCCGGACGCGGGUUCGACUCCCGCCGCCUCCACCA